Molecule: unclassified non-coding RNA, 495 nt
Filed under: Anelosimus guacamayos
Lineage: Eukaryota; Metazoa; Arthropoda; Arachnida; Araneae; Theridiidae
Description: partial contains 16S ribosomal RNA and tRNA-Leu (trnL)
Rfam family: Bacterial large subunit ribosomal RNA (bases 99-398)
Source: RNAcentral
UUUUAAUUAAAAACUAGAAUGAAAGGUUAUACAUUCAAAUUUCUUUAUUAAUUUCUAAUUAAUAAUUUAUAUUAAAUAUAAAAAUAUACUUAUAAAAAAAAAAGACGACAAGACCCUAUUAAAUUUUACUUAUAGUUUAACUGGGGAAGUUUUUUAAUUAAAAUUUUUUAAAUUUAAUAAAUAAAAAUCUAAUAAAAUUAAAACUUUAACAAAUUACUAUAGGGAUAACAGCAUUAUAUUUUUUAAAAGUUCAUAUUAAAAAAAAUGAUUAUGACCUCGAUGUUGAAUUAUAUUUUCUAUAUUUAAUGCAAUAAUUAUAAAAGUAGAUCUGUUCGAUCUUUAAAAUAUUACAUGAUUUGAGUUCAAACCGGUGUAAACCAGGUUGGUUUCUAUCUUUUUAUAUAUUUUUCCAGUACGAAAGGACAAACAAAUUUUUAUUUUAAUAAAUUAGCAAAUAAAUGCAUUAGAUUUAGAAUCUAAAUAUAUUUAAUAAUU